Molecule: unclassified non-coding RNA, 372 nt
Filed under: soil metagenome
Description: partial contains 5.8S ribosomal RNA, internal transcribed spacer 2, and large subunit ribosomal RNA
Rfam family: 5.8S ribosomal RNA (bases 1-120)
Source: RNAcentral
GAUGAAGAACGCAGCGAAAUGCGAUAAGUAAUGUGAAUUGCAGAGUUCAGUGAAUCAUCGAAUCUUUGAACGCACAUUGCGCCCGUUAGUAUUCUGACGGGCAUGCCUGUCCGAGCGUCAUUAUCACCCCUCAAGCCCUCGGCUUGGUGUUGGACGGUUUGGUGGAGGCCCCCUCGGGGGCUCCUGCCCCUCCCAAAGACAAUGACGGCGGCCUCGUUGGACCCCCGGUACACUGAGUUCUUCACGGGACACGUAUCGGACACAUGGGUUUACGGGACUCGGUCUGCCUCCCCUCAGGGAGAAUCUUUCUAAGGUUGACCUCGGAUCAGGUAGGGAUACCCGCUGAACUUAAGCAUAUCAAUAAGCGGAGGA